This 452-nucleotide long non-coding RNA is filed under the name Zostera marina. RNAcentral describes it as "long non-coding RNA (ZMAR_LNC004419)". The record is from RNAcentral. Lineage: Eukaryota; Viridiplantae; Streptophyta; Magnoliopsida; Alismatales; Zosteraceae.
CGCAAGGAAGACUCUCUACACAACCGAAGAUGGGUCUCUCUCUUCCACUCGUUUCUGCGAGAAAGAGCUCCUGCAAGUGGUGGAAUGUCAGCCGGUGUUCUCCUACAUCGACGACCCGGCAAACACCUCCUACGCGCUCCUCCUCCAACUCCGGGAAGUUCUCGUGGAAAAGUCGCUGACCAGCGAAGAGGACAAGGAUGGGUACUUCGUAUUCAAGAAGAUAACCGAGUUCACGAAUGACCUGAAGGUGAGAGUGGCCAAGGACGUAGAGGUGGCCAGGGAGAAGUUCGAGAAGGGUGAGUACUUGGUCGGAAAGAGAAUCGGAAAGUGCAGGACUAAUGGAGUGUACCAACUGGUGAGGAAUGUUGCCCAGACGGAAAUAUUGACCGGAGAGAAGAAGGUGAGUCCCGGCGAGUGCAUCGAGAAAGUGUACGAUUGCAUACUGCAAGGUA